UCCGUAGGCGGGCGAUUAAGUCAGAGGUGAAAUCCCACAGCUCAACUGUGGAACUGCCCUUGAUACUGGUUGUCUUGAGUUACAGUGAAGUAGAUAGAAUAUGUAGUGUAGCGGUGAAAUGCAUAGAUAUUACAUAGAAUACCGAUUGCGAAGGCAGUCUACUAACUGUUAACUGACGCUAAGGGACGAAAGCGUGGGGAGCGAACAGGAUUAGAUACCCUGGUAGUCC
Molecule: ribosomal RNA, 229 nt
Filed under: uncultured bacterium
Lineage: Bacteria
Description: partial 16S ribosomal RNA
Rfam family: Bacterial small subunit ribosomal RNA
Source: RNAcentral